GAUGAAUGCUGGCGGCGUGCCUUAGGCAUGCAAGUCAAGGGGGCUCCGUAAGGAGCAACCGGCAGACGGGUGAGUAACGCGUAGGAAUCUACCCCUAGGAACCGCAUAGCCCUCCGAAAGGAGGGGUAAUUCGGUAUGGUCUCGUAAGAGUAAAGGACUUAACGGUCCGCCAAGGGAGGAGCCUGCGUCCUAUCAGCUUGUUGGUGGGGUAAAAGCCUACCAAGGCAACGACGGGUAGCUGGACUGAGAGGUCGAUCAGCCACAACUGCACCGAAACACGGGCAGUACAUCUACGGAUGGCAGCAACCGGGAAUAUUGCGCAAUGGGGGAAACCCUGACGCAGCGACGCCGCGUGAAGGAAGAAGGCCUAUGGGUCGUAAACUUCUUUUGAUAGUCCGUUCACAGACUAUAGAAUAAGCCUCUACUAACUACGUGCCAGAAGUCUCGGUAAUACGUAGGAGGCAAGCAUUAUCCGGAUUCAUUGGGCGUAAAGUGUGCGUAGGCGGCAUGUUGUGUCGUAUCUUAAAUACCAAGGCUUAACCUCGGAUCUGGAUACGAAACUG
This 563-nucleotide ribosomal RNA is filed under the name uncultured bacterium. Its description in RNAcentral is "bacterial SSU rRNA". It matches the Rfam family "Bacterial small subunit ribosomal RNA", at positions 28 to 635 of the family's 1533-position model. The record is from RNAcentral.